GAAGAGAAGGAAUGCUUGAGAAACUUUACAAGAAGAAACAAAAGUAAUUAUCUGCUAGUUAGAUAUAGGUAGGAAAAAACAAGAAAGGGUAAUUACAAGGUAAACUCAACUAACAUCCUCAGGGAUGUUGCUUUAAGAAGGAUGAAAUAAGUAGAAACAUUAAUUCACUGGUACAAGGAGGGGGAAAAAGAUGGGGACAAAAGAAAUGGACAGAAGAUAAUAUUUAUCCACCAGUUGUGGGAGCCUUUGUAAGCUGGAGACCAACUAGAAUUUAAAUAAAACCUUGAAACAAAAAAGAAAAGAAAAGAAAGUUGGAGAUCAAGAAAAGAGAAAGCAGCGGUUUGGAUUCAUCCAGGACUAGAUACAACUAAAAGACAUUGGAGCAAAGGAAUUUGAGGUAUGGAAAAAUAUAUUAUUUAUUAGAUAAUGAGCAUUGGAAUAUAAGAGAAUAAGUAGGGAUGCAAAUGCAAUAUAGGAAAAGGCAAAGGAAUAAAUAGAUCUGUUUCCAAGUACA
This 514-nucleotide long non-coding RNA is filed under the name Felis catus (domestic cat). RNAcentral describes it as "lncRNA (ENSFCAG00000050314.1)". The record is from RNAcentral. Lineage: Eukaryota; Metazoa; Chordata; Mammalia; Carnivora; Felidae.